Molecule: unclassified non-coding RNA, 378 nt
Filed under: plant metagenome
Description: partial contains 5.8S ribosomal RNA, internal transcribed spacer 2, and large subunit ribosomal RNA
Rfam family: 5.8S ribosomal RNA (bases 1-105)
Source: RNAcentral
GAAAUGCGAUAAGUAAUGUGAAUUGCAGAAUUCAGUGAAUCAUCGAAUCUUUGAACGCACCUUGCGCUCCUUGGUAUUCCUUGGAGCAUGCCUGUUUGAGUAUCAUGAAAUCUUCAAAGUAAAUCUUUUGUUAACUCAAUUGGUUUCUACUUUGGUAUUGGAGGUCUUUGCAGCUUCACACCUGCUCCUCUUUGUUCAUUAGCUGGAUCUCAGUGUUAUGCUUGGUUCCACUCGGCGUGAUAAGUUAUCUAUCGCUGAGGACACAGUAAAAGGUGGCCAAGGUAAAUGCAGAUGAACCGCUUCUAAUAGUCCAUUGACUUGGACAAUACUUUUAUGAUCUGAUCUCAAAUCAGGUAGGACUACCCGCUGAACUCAAGC